Molecule: non-coding RNA, 30 nt
Filed under: Rattus norvegicus (Norway rat)
Lineage: Eukaryota; Metazoa; Chordata; Mammalia; Rodentia; Muridae
Source: RNAcentral
UGGAAAGAGUGAUGUUGUGCCAUUUGUGAC